RNAcentral lists this small RNA (298 nucleotides) under Methylibium sp. NZG. RNAcentral's name for it is "5' ureB small RNA". It matches the Rfam family "5' ureB small RNA". Lineage: Bacteria; Pseudomonadati; Pseudomonadota; Betaproteobacteria; Burkholderiales; Sphaerotilaceae. The record is from Rfam by way of RNAcentral.
CUUCUUCGAUCUGCUGCGGGCAGAUGAAGUGGAUGUGGCUGUCGAUGCCGCCCGCCGUGACGAUCAUCCCUUCGGCCGCAAUGAUCUCGGUGCCUGGGCCGAUCACGAUGUCCACGCCCGGCUGCACGUCGGGGUUGCCGGCCUUGCCGAUCUUGGCGAUGCGCCCGCCGCGCAAACCGAUGUCGGCCUUGACGAUGCCCCAGUGGUCCAGGAUCAGCGCGUUGGUGAGCACGCAAUCGACCGCGUGCUGCAGGCCCGGGCCGUUGACGCGCUGGCUCUGGCCCAUGCCGUCGCGGAU